AGGGUAACGCACCCGGUAUUCGGUCACCUCCCAGAAUUCGGUCAGACAGCUGUUUCAACAGCUGUUUAAAAAAAAUAAUAAUGCAUGAGCCAGAAAACUUUGGCAUAUCAUGCAAGAAACCAGCACUUCCAGCCCACAUCAAAAAAAAUGUCGAUUAAGACAAGCACACAGCAAAAAAACUAACCUUAAAAUUGACCGCAUCGGGGGAUUUUGUUUACUUCCGGGUUUCUUAGCUAUUGAGUUAAGCGUACGUCGCUUCAUUUAAACUCUUGUGACGUCAUGACUUUGUGUGUAGGUGUAAUGAAUUUGGUACGAGUGUGAAGGGGAAGACUUGUGUAUUCACCCAAUCGCAGCGAAUAUGCAACUAGCGGUGAAAUUGAAGAGUAGCAAGGGCCUAUACAUUGCCCCUACAGUGAGAGGGCGCUCGACCAGAAUUCGGUCGCGCAACAUUGAGUGUCUUGCCGGUGUGUUUGUGAGAAGGGAAGAGCGUGCAUACACGUUGCUCCUCGCAAGUGAAUCACUUAUCUUAAUUCAUUUUCUGUUCUGUUAGGCCUAAAUAAGUUUAGAAUAUAUCUAAAAUUAUUUUUCAUGAAUAAAAACCUUAAAUCAAAGAUGUUUAUUGCCUGUAAAAAUGCAAUUUGAGCAAGUGAAUGACAAUGGUGACGAAGUUGGUGAAUUUGACCAAGGCUCAUUUUGAUUGCCUUUGCGUGAUUGAGUUGAAAUCUACAUCUUUCUCAAAUGAUAAGGCAAAUGAUAUGCCUACGUUAGGCCUAAAUAUGUUAAGAAUACACCUACAAUUAUUUUUCAUGAAUAAAAAUCUUCAUUCAAAGAUGUUUAAUGCCUGUGAAAAUGCAAUUUGAGCAGGUGAAUGAUGAUGGUGACGAAGUUGCCGAAUUUGACCAGGGCUCAUUUUGAUAUUGCCUUUGCGUGAUUGAAAUUAAGUCUUAGUGAUUUCCUUUUUGGCCUCAAUAGUCAAACUCAACCUCAAUAGAUAAACUGUGUUAUUUUUUAAUGUUAUCAUAGUCAUUUUCAAUAUUAUUAUUAAUUUGAAUAAUACAUCAGGUUCCAGGGAGGAUGGACCCCCCCCCCCAAAAAAAAAAGGCGCUCCCACGAGUGUUAUUUUAAAAUACGCCAUUGCUAGAUCAAAGGCUGGAAAAUUGCCCCUCAAUUUUGCCCGUCACGGCACAUAUCAAAGGUCUGCGGAUGACUUUUUUGGUCGUUUUAAUUUAAAACAAGGGGCCAUUUAAUAUAUCGUCAUCAUUGCUAAUAACAUCAAUCGAAACUGGAUGAAAAUGUUGACGAAUUCAGUUAGAAUUAUCAGUUACCUGUUGUGAAUUCGAUUGGAAUUCAGUUGCCCGAGUUAGGCCUAAAGUGAUUUAUAGAAUUAAUAAAAUGUCCCUUUCGUCUAAUAUUAAUUUCAAAUUCUUUGAGUUCAUACUUUCAAUCACUUUUUAAGCAGAUAUCAAAAUCUUUACUAACAGUAUUUCCAACAGCAGGUUGACAACUCGGUAUUGGAUGGUAGACAAGAUGUGAAUAAGAAGGGCGACUGAGGUAUAUGGGAUACCUAAAUCAACGCAUAUAUAGGGAUAAAUUUCUCCACAGAUCAAUGGGAAGACACCAGUAAAAUCACGGCAUGGUUCCAGCCCUUACCUCUCCGUUUCUAUGGAAGCAAAUUUGGCGGCAUGGGAACAGUGGAUGGCAAAAAUCGGGGUGAAGAGACUACAGUUACAGCAGACGAUUCAAAUUUAAUUGUCGGUCUCGUCGUUAUUUUGUCUUUCUUUCCCUCUUCAUUUUCUCGUUAAUUUUCGGGGGAUUUAAAGGACCAUUGAUGUAGUAGGAAAAGAAAUGACAAUAGCGAGGGCAGUAGUUUUGUGUUUUAAUAUGGAACCAGUAAAUGAUGAUGAUGAAGGAAGUUGCAAUAAAACAAUGAGCACAAUUAUGAAAAGGAUAGUGUAAGAAUAGUAGAUUAAGGCAAACAUGAUGAAAUUAAUUUAUGUACAUUAUCUUCAUUCAAAUUGUUUCAUCAAGAAGGCGUACCACACUUGUAUUCAAGAAAGAUUUAGCAUUGAGUGAAUUAAAGAUCUUCAAUUACCUCUUAUAUCACAAUGUUCCCUAAAAUUUUGUUUGAUUUAUAAAGGAAUGAUAUGAAAUCAUAUCGGAGGCCGACAUAGAUCUUAAAUCAUCUCAUAAAUAUUAUUGAACCAUUACUUUUAUUGUAAAAAAAUAAACUAGGCCCUACGGUAAUAUUAAAUCCAAGAAAUUACAAAGAAAAUAUAUUCUACGCAGUUGUUACGUCCUGGUACUAAUUAUUUUGCAGUGUAAGAUUGAUUUUUACAUUAUAUUGUUUGUAUUCAUAUCAAUUAUCAUUCUUAAUUUCAUAUAAAUUUUAUGUAUUGUACGUAUAGAUGGACAAACAGUAAAUUUUGUUAGAGUAUUUGAUUUAUUGAUUUCUUUCCAUUUAUGAAAGACACGAGUAUGAAACUUAUUUGCCAUUUGUAUUACAUGUAAUUCUACAUUCACCUUGCCAUUCAUUUCAUAGACUGAAAAAAAUAAACAACAUCUUGACUGCAAAGACGUUAAGUUUCAAGAACAUGUUGCCCAUUUGACUCUUUGUCUGCAAUAAAAUUGACUGAAACGACGAUGCUAAACCAUUUUCUGUUUGAUUCCGUUUUGGAUUAUUGUAUUAAAAAUUCUGAGUGAUUGAAACUUUAUAUAAUCUUAACGAGAGGGGAUUGAUAUGGUCAGCAGAACAGAGGAUUAAUGUUCAUUGGGGACCUCUAUUGCUUGAUCCACCCCCCUGAAAAAUACAAAAGAUAAUCCUCUUCUCCGAUGCCCAUAGUUUGAAUGAGCUAGUGUGAUCUACUGUUUGACAUAGGUUGUGUGGCUGAUUAUCUUUUGGUGAUUGACUGGAGCGACUAAAAACAAAAACCAAGUUAUUUGAUAGAUUUUCAUCAAUGACUAUCAGGACUAUCGGGAUGGCAGAUUGAAAAUAUGAUUUUAGAAAAUUAUGAACAUAAGUAAAAUCUCCAAAAUAAUAAAUUCUACUCAGAAGCGGAUCCAGGAAUGAGCCCUCUUUUAAUUUGACACUUUUUUAUCAUGUAAAGGAUCGGGAAUUAGGAGUACACAGACCUUGCUCCCCGCCUGGAUUUCCAACUGUACUGAAUUACCAAAUAAGAAAAAAAAAAGAAAAAGAAACAGACCAAAAUAAUUAAGACUCCCUUAAACAAAAACAGAA
RNAcentral lists this long non-coding RNA (3235 nucleotides) under Lytechinus variegatus (green sea urchin). RNAcentral's name for it is "uncharacterized LOC121413454". The record is from RNAcentral. Lineage: Eukaryota; Metazoa; Echinodermata; Echinoidea; Temnopleuroida; Toxopneustidae.